RNAcentral lists this ribosomal RNA (496 nucleotides) under uncultured bacterium. Its description in RNAcentral is "partial 16S ribosomal RNA". It matches the Rfam family "Bacterial small subunit ribosomal RNA", at positions 28 to 506 of the family's 1533-position model. The record is from RNAcentral.
GAUGAACGCUGGCGGCGUGCCUAAUACAUGCAAGUCGAGCGAACAGACGAGGAGCUUGCUCCUCUGACGUUAGCGGCGGACGGGUGAGUAACACGUGGAUAACCUACCUAUAAGACUGGGAUAACUUUGGGAAACCGGAGCUAAUACCGGAUAAUAUAUUGAACCGCAUGGUUCAAUAGUGAAAGACGGUUUUGCUGUCACUUAUAGAUGGAUCCGCGCCGCAUUAGCUAGUUGGUAAGGUAACGGCUUACCAAGGCAACGAUGCGUAGCCGACCUGAGAGGGUGAUCGGCCACACUGGAACUGAGACACGGUCCAGACUCCUACGGGAGGCAGCAGUAGGGAAUCUUCCGCAAUGGGCGAAAGCCUGACGGAGCAACGCCGCGUGAGUGAUGAAGGUCUUCGGAUCGUAAAACUCUGUUAUUAGGGAAGAACAAAUGUGUAAGUAACUAUGCACGUCUUGACGGUACCUAAUCAGAAAGCCACGGCUAACUACGU